RNAcentral lists this ribosomal RNA (161 nucleotides) under Rosulabryum bornholmense. Its description in RNAcentral is "5.8S ribosomal RNA". It matches the Rfam family "5.8S ribosomal RNA". Rfam says of the family: 5.8S ribosomal RNA (5.8S rRNA) is a component of the large subunit of the eukaryotic ribosome. It is transcribed by RNA polymerase I as part of the 45S precursor that also contains 18S and 28S rRNA. Lineage: Eukaryota; Viridiplantae; Streptophyta; Bryopsida; Bryales; Bryaceae. The record is from RNAcentral.
UAAAACAACUCUCAGCAACGGAUAUCUUGGCUCUUGCCACGAUGAAGAACGCAGCGAAAUGCGAUACCUAAUGUGAAUUGCAGAAUUCCGCGAAUCAUCGAGUUUUUGAACGCAAGUUGCGCCCGAGGCUUGUCCAAGGGCAUUUCCGUUAGAGCGUCACC